GCAGACGACAGAGACUAGUUAA
This 22-nucleotide ribosomal RNA is filed under the name Cuphea ericoides. RNAcentral describes it as "partial 18S ribosomal RNA". Lineage: Eukaryota; Viridiplantae; Streptophyta; Magnoliopsida; Myrtales; Lythraceae. The record is from RNAcentral.